RNAcentral lists this ribosomal RNA (593 nucleotides) under uncultured bacterium. RNAcentral's name for it is "bacterial SSU rRNA". It matches the Rfam family "Bacterial small subunit ribosomal RNA", at positions 528 to 1120 of the family's 1533-position model. The record is from RNAcentral.
UAGGGUGCGAGCGUUGUCCGGAAUUACUGGGCGUAAAGAGCUCGUAGGUGGUUUGUCGCGUUGUUCGUGAAAUCUCACGGCUUAACUGUGAGCGUGCGGGCGAUACGGGCAGACUUGAGUACUGCAGGGGAGACUGGAAUUCCUGGUGUAGCGGUGGAAUGCGCAGAUAUCAGGAGGAACACCGGUGGCGAAGGCGGGUCUCUGGGCAGUAACUGACGCUGAGGAGCGAAAGCGUGGGGAGCGAACAGGAUUAGAUACCCUGGUAGUCCACGCCGUAAACGGUGGGUACUAGGUGUGGGUUUCCUUCCUUGGGAUGCGUGCCGUAGCUAACGCAUUAAGUACCCCGCCUGGGGAGUACGGCCGCAAGGCUAAAACUCAAAGAAAUUGACGGGGGCCCGCACAAGCGGCGGAGCAUGUGGAUUAAUUCGAUGCAACGCGAAGAACCUUACCUGGGUUUGACAUGCACAGGACGCCGGCAGAGAUGUCGGUUCCCUUGUGGCCUGUGUGCAGGUGGUGCAUGGCUGUCGUCAGCUCGUGUCGUGAGAUGUUGGGUUAAGUCCCGCAACGAGCGCAACCCUUGUCUCAUGUUGCCA